Molecule: long non-coding RNA, 832 nt
Filed under: Sparus aurata (gilthead seabream)
Lineage: Eukaryota; Metazoa; Chordata; Actinopteri; Spariformes; Sparidae
Description: lncRNA (ENSSAUG00010026374.1)
Source: RNAcentral
UUAGCGGCGUUCUACUAGCCAGCUAACAUUACACGAACUUGGCUUGCAGGUUGCCUUGUAGAGGCUAGUUAGCUGAUCUUGCUAACGUGCUAGCCCCUGUUAGUUAGAUGCAAACACUGAUUGCUGCUGCUGGUGGGAAACCAAGAAGCGAAAGAAGGAGCCUUUAACCUCAUUGGACCCUGUGUAGCUUUAGCUUCAAGCUCCAGAGGAUAUCUCGCUUUGGAUACACGACCUGUGGGAAUCACCGGAGAGGCCUGUUGUCUUUGUUCAUCCCAACACUUCUGAGCCUCCCACCUUCCACCUUCACUGCCCCUGGCUCAGUCGGUGGCUCAGCAUCACUUCAAAGAGGAAGGUCUGCGGAGCUGCAGAUAACACUCUGUUCCCCCAAGCACCAGCAGGCUUUUCCAGAGCCCCUACGCAGUCCCUCGACUGACAGAAAGAAUCAACCCUUAGAGCGGGACCUGGAGUGGAGAAGACCAAUUGUGGCCGGAACAAAGACAGACAGAGAGAACUGUAAGUAAAGACUGCAGCCUGUGAACUUCUCAGGGGUCAGCAAGUUUUUGUGUGCAUGUAACUGUGCUCAAUGCAGUGCUUAUCGCAUAGGAUUACACACAGGAAUGGUGAGGUUUGUGGUUGUUUGGAGUGGUUGAGAGUAACCAUGUGGCUUUUGUAGAUGACAAAGACGCUGCCUGAAUUGCUCCUUUUGUGUGUCAGAGUGUGCUGGGAUCAAAAUACUGCACAGCAGGUGGCCAAAGAUAAUGAAGAAAUCUCUGCAUUUGUUAGUCACCUUGCAAUUGUAUUAGUAUUCUAUGUAUCCCUCUUUGUCUGCGAG